CGGGGCGUAGCGCAGACUGGUAGCGCGCUUGCUUGGGGUGCAAGAGGUCGUGAGUUCAAAUCUCAUCGCCCCGACCA
This 77-nucleotide transfer RNA is filed under the name Planctomycetota bacterium. Its description in RNAcentral is "Planctomycetes bacterium (activated sludge metagenome) tRNA-Pro". It matches the Rfam family "tRNA". From Rfam's summary of the family: Transfer RNA (tRNA) molecules are approximately 80 nucleotides in length. Their secondary structure includes four short double-helical elements and three loops (D, anti-codon, and T loops). The record is from RNAcentral. Lineage: Bacteria; Pseudomonadati; Planctomycetota.